GGGGCCUUAGCUCAGCUGGGAGAGCGCCUGCUUUGCACGCAGGAGGUCAGCAGUUCGAUCCCGCUAGGCUCCA
Molecule: transfer RNA, 73 nt
Filed under: Streptococcus iniae
Lineage: Bacteria; Bacillati; Bacillota; Bacilli; Lactobacillales; Streptococcaceae
Also listed under: 2 other names
Description: tRNA-Ala
Rfam family: tRNA
About the family: Transfer RNA (tRNA) molecules are approximately 80 nucleotides in length. Their secondary structure includes four short double-helical elements and three loops (D, anti-codon, and T loops).
Source: RNAcentral